This 207-nucleotide ribosomal RNA is filed under the name Lotharella globosa. RNAcentral's name for it is "partial Bacterial large subunit ribosomal RNA". It matches the Rfam family "Bacterial large subunit ribosomal RNA", at positions 1691 to 1883 of the family's 2925-position model. The record is from RNAcentral. Lineage: Eukaryota; Cercozoa; Chlorarachniophyceae.
UGAGAGAACUCGGGUGAAGGAACUAGGCAAAAUGGCACCGUAACUUCGGGAGAAGGUGCGCCGCUGACGGUGAAGGGCUUGCCCCGUAAGCUGUUGGCGGUCGAAGAUACCAGGUGGCUGCGACUGUUUAGCAAAAACACAGCACUGUGCAAACACGAAAGUGGACGUAUACGGUGUGACGCCUGCCCGGUGCCGGAAGGUUAAUUG